AGCGCUACAGACCAAAGCCAAGCGGCGGCCAAGCCACCAAUCGCGAGCGCCCAUCUUCACGAGCUCCGCUCCACUCCCAACUUCCAAUCAACCGCUUUCGUCCCCUUCCUUCCAAGCUACGGUAUACGCAGUUCAGUCCAUCGUCCCGUAACCCGCGUACCCACCGCUGCUUCUGCUCCCCCAUGGCGAAGACCACGCAACCCACCGCGGGGGCGCGGGAUCCCCUGCUCCCCACCUCUGGCGCCGCCGUCGCCUCCCCGCCGCCCUACCUCGACCCGCACCCGGCCGACUCCUACACGGUCCUCCUCGUCCCCGUCCGCCUCCGCCACCGCCUGCGCCGCGGCAGCGGCCGCUGCUGCGGCGUCGGCCCCUGCCUCACCGCGCUCUUCCUCCUCCUCGCGCUCGCGGGCUUCCUCCUCUGGCCCGCCGACCCGGACGUCUCCCUCGCCCGCCUCCGCCUCGCGCACGUCUCCGUCGUGGCGCGCCCCGCCGUCGCCGUCACCAUAUCCGCCGCGCUCAAGGUCCGCGUCCGCAACCCGGACUUCUUCGCGCUCGACUACAACCGCCUCGACGUCGCCAUCGCCUACCGCGGCGCGCCGCUCGGCCGGGUCACGUCCGGCGGCGGGCGGGUCCGGGCGCGCGCUGUGUCGUACGUCGACGCCGACCUGCAGCUCGACGGCAUACGCGUCGUUGAGGACGCGAUCUACCUGGUCGAGGACCUCGCGAGGGGAUCCGUGCCCUUUGAUACCAUCGUCGAGGUCGAGGGCCAUCUCCACUUCUUCUUCCUCAGCAUCCCUGUCAAGGAGUAGGAACUCAGGGAAAGUUCUCCAAGGUUAGCCUGUCUUCGGAUUUUCAUGAAAGCUACCUAUCUCGUGGCAAUGAUAAAGUGCUAGUUUGGCUCCCUAAACCUUGCCAGGUUCUCGCCAGUCAGGGGAGAAUAUCUUGCGUGGUGCAUGUUAAUCCACACAACGAAACCAUAGUACAUCAAGACUGCUAUCCUGAGUGAAAAGCUUAUGGCGUGGAAGGCUGUAAGCUAUCUUGCCUUGCGAAUGGAUCGUUUCUAAGCUUCGCUUAGAGUCGUGGUUGUGUAAAAGUAAGGAACAACUGAACUCUACUGGGUAAUGCGCCUAUUGUAAAGCCGUUAGCACGUCAUGUUUAUAUCAAUCAGUUUACCUAUGAGAAAAUUGCCAUUUGGCAUUGAUGUUACGGUGAUGUUUGGCUCGAUUGCAACAAUGUCACACGGAUUGUCUGGUAUACCAUCGACCCAUCGUCGAUGGAUAGUCCGCGUAUGAUUGUUCCUUGGCAUAUAGGAUUCACGAUGACACUGGAUCUUUGAUUCCCGGUCGUUUGCCUCGGUGAGAGCGUGUUCGCUUGAGUUUA
Molecule: RNA transcript, 1380 nt
Organism: Sorghum bicolor (sorghum)
Lineage: Eukaryota; Viridiplantae; Streptophyta; Magnoliopsida; Poales; Poaceae
Exons: 4
Source: RefSeq, a predicted model, not a curated record